GAUGAACGCUGGCGGCGUGCCUAAUACAUGCAAGUCGAGCGGACAGACGAGGCGCUUGCGCGGUUCACGUUUGGCGCGGGCGGGAGAGAAACACGUGGAAACUCUACUUAUAUUAGUGGUAUAAUUUGGGGACAGCGGCUCUAAUACCGUAGGAUAUCUUGCUCCGUGGGGUUCAUUGGUGAAAUACGGCGUUGCGGUAUCUUAUAGAUGGAUCCCCGCCUCAUUAGCUAGUUGUUAGGGUAACGGGUUACCACGGCAAGGAGGCGUAGCCGAGUGAACAGAGUGGUCGGCCACACGAGAACGGGACCACGGUCCAGGCUCCUACGGGAGGCAGCAGUAGGGUAUCUUCCGCAAUAGGCGAAAGCCUGACGGAGCAACGCCGCGUGAGUGAUGAAGGUCUUCGGAUCGUAAAACUCUGUUAUUAGGGAAGAACAAAUGUGUAAGUAACUAUGCACGUAUUGACGGUACCUAAUCAGAAAGCCACGGCUAACUACGUG
This 497-nucleotide ribosomal RNA is filed under the name uncultured bacterium. RNAcentral describes it as "partial 16S ribosomal RNA". It matches the Rfam family "Bacterial small subunit ribosomal RNA", at positions 28 to 507 of the family's 1533-position model. The record is from RNAcentral.